This 971-nucleotide long non-coding RNA is filed under the name Homo sapiens (human). RNAcentral describes it as "HSALNT0219992". Lineage: Eukaryota; Metazoa; Chordata; Mammalia; Primates; Hominidae. The record is from RNAcentral.
UGAAAAGCAACCAAUUUAUUCCAUGUACCUUGGUAAUUAAAGAAACCUCUGGACUUUUUCUCAUUGUUGGAUGGAAUGACAGUUCCAAUGAAGAAGUUUGCAAUAGCAAUUAGAAGAAUGACCAGAAGAAUGACUUGGGCCUGGAAUGGAAAGUGCUAACUGCAGCAGUUCGAGAAUGCAGAAUGAUGAAUACAAUUCCUGUGAUUCCCAGUGCACUUGACGUCAGGCUGCCGCUGUGUGCUCAGCACAAGCAGUCUGCAAAGUUGACUGGUCAGAUGGUCUUCCUUCAGCCCCUCCAAUGCUGCAAGGCAGCUUGAAAGAGGAACCAGGGUUUGUGAUUGAGAGACCCAGGCUUCCAGCGUGCACCACUGCUAUGAUCAUAAGGGGUCUGUGCAUAAGGCAGCCGCCUUGGUGACAGCACAGAGAGACAAAAUACGGCAGUCAUGUGACUCGUGAGCCCUGAAUCAUGACUGCCUGGGCUUCGUGCUUUGCAGGCUUGGUGUUCCACCUAGCACUUGCCUGCUCAUUUCACCAUAGCAGCUACUGAAAUUCCUAGAAGAAUCACCACUGUGAUGGAGCCUAUAAUCCGGAUGUCAUUGGUUGGAUCCACCAUCAUCGAAUCACUCUCCUGGGGAAACAAAUUAUUAAGUGCUUAGAGAUACAGCUUUUUGCAUAAGAAUGACUAGUUAUUUCUGUGUGUCAAGGGGAAUCCUAGCAGAAUAAAAACGGAUGGUUUACAAUGUAAAUCCUGAAAGUUAAGUGGUGUCCUAUGUAAGACCAGAUGACACAAACCUGAUAAUGCAUCUCUUGAAGCGUUUGGGGUGAGCCCCGAGGCCUGGGUGCAGGAGUGGUUUACUGAGUGGCAAUCAUCAGCAAUGCCAUCUGGGGCAUUGGAGAAGACCCAUGCUGAGAGGACCUGCGAGAGAGCCAGUGGGUCUCAUCCAAGGCCAAUGAUGAUGACUCCAAGACCU